This 315-nucleotide unclassified non-coding RNA is filed under the name plant metagenome. Its description in RNAcentral is "partial contains 5.8S ribosomal RNA, internal transcribed spacer 2, and large subunit ribosomal RNA". The stretch from base 1 to 105 matches the Rfam family "5.8S ribosomal RNA", at positions 50 to 154 of the family's 154-position model. The record is from RNAcentral.
GAACUGCGAUAAGUAAUGUGAAUGGCAGAAGUCAGUGAAUCAUCGAGUCUUUGAACGCACAUUGCGCCCCCUGGCAUUCCGGGGGGCAUGCCUGUCCGAGCGUCAUUGCUGCCCUUCAAGCCCGGCUUGUGUGUUGGGUCGUCGUCCCCUCCGGGGGACGGGCCCGAAAGGCAGCGGCGGCACCGCGUCCGGUCCUCGAGCGUAUGGGGCUUUGUCACCCGCUCGAUAAGGACCGGCCGGGCGCCAGCCGGCGUCUCCAACCUUUUUUUCUCAGGUUGACCUCGGAUCAGGUAGGGAUACCCGCUGAACUUAAGC